UCAAUUUCUGUGUGUCUUGAUGAGUU
Molecule: non-coding RNA, 26 nt
Filed under: Mus musculus (house mouse)
Lineage: Eukaryota; Metazoa; Chordata; Mammalia; Rodentia; Muridae
Source: RNAcentral